CAGAGCUUCUAUUUACUCAACUGCUGAUUCAAUUGCGACAAGAGCAGAUUCGAGAGCAUCAAUGAAUGUGCUUGCGUCCUCUUCUUUAUUAUACCUCCCAAUGGGAACUGUGCACAACCGAUUCCUCCACCUCAUCUGCACCUCAAAAGAGGGCAUUCUAGAGCAGCUAAAAAUAGGAAAAGCACUAGAAUGUUUCAAAAGUCUAUGGCCCCGAACAUGCCGUUUACCUAAAUGAGGUUUAAAAGGUGGGGCUCCCGAUUUCC
Molecule: long non-coding RNA, 263 nt
Filed under: Panax ginseng (ginseng)
Lineage: Eukaryota; Viridiplantae; Streptophyta; Magnoliopsida; Apiales; Araliaceae
Description: long non-coding RNA (PGIN_LNC000077)
Source: RNAcentral